This is a long non-coding RNA of Nerophis ophidion (straightnose pipefish), 259 nucleotides long. RefSeq lists it as uncharacterized. NCBI's taxonomy places the organism in Eukaryota, Metazoa, Chordata, Actinopteri, Syngnathiformes, Syngnathidae. The transcript is spliced from 3 exons. The record is from RefSeq and is a predicted model, not a curated record.
AGGAAAGAGGUUGGAGCAGGGUCGACAGAGGAAAAACGGCAGACUUUUCCCAGGAGGAGAGGUAGAUUCAUAAUGGCUGCUGACGUUGAACUGUCUCACAUUUGGCGUCGCUGAGCCAAGACCUUCAGAAUUUCUUGUCGCAUUACAUCACAACAACAAGCCUUUGCCAGAUUCAUGAUCAUUCGCCAUUAGGUCUUGUUUAAAAGCUGACAAAUGUCUUGCACGGACUGGCUGUUUAUCACAAAGCGAUCACAGACGU